GAUGAACGCUAGCGAUAGGCUUAACACAUGCAAGUCGAGGGGCAGCACAAGGUAGCUUGCUAUCUGGGUGGCGACCGGCGCACGGGUGCGUAACGCGUAUGCAACUUGCCCUAUACAGGAGGAUAACCCGUCGAAAGACGGACUAAUACUGCGUAUGCUCACAACUUGGCAUCAAGUGGUGAGGAAAGAAAUUCGGUAUAGGAUAGGCAUGCGUCCCAUUAGCUUGUUGGUGAGGUAACGGCUCACCAAGGCAACGAUGGGUAGGGGAACUGAGAGGCUUAUCCCCCACACUGGUACUGAGACACGGACCAGACUCCUACGGGAGGCAGCAGUGAGGAAUAUUGGUCAAUGGGCGCGAGCCUGAACCAGCCAAGUCGCGUGAAGGAUGACUGUCUUAUGGAUUGUAAACUUCUUUUAUACGGGAAUAACAAGAGUCACGUGUGACUCCCUGCAUGUACCGUAUGAAUAAGCAUCGGCUAACUCCGUG
This 487-nucleotide ribosomal RNA is filed under the name uncultured bacterium. RNAcentral's name for it is "partial 16S ribosomal RNA". It matches the Rfam family "Bacterial small subunit ribosomal RNA", at positions 28 to 507 of the family's 1533-position model. The record is from RNAcentral.